AGAACCUUUAACACAGUCCCGUGAGGCUGAGAAGGAAAACGGAAAUGUUGACUAUGGUCAAACGUAGGACCUAGUAUAACUAUCUCUUCGUAAACCCUCUCACAAAUCGGUGAGAGGGUUUUUCGUUU
This is a non-coding RNA of Bacillus sp. SA1-12, 128 nucleotides long. The record is from Rfam. NCBI's taxonomy places the organism in Bacteria, Bacillati, Bacillota, Bacilli, Caryophanales, Bacillaceae.